UGCUCUGGCCCGGGUUGACGAGCCUCCGAUGCCCGUUUACUGCGCGCGGCAGCCACUCUGGAGCCGCGGCACAUCUGGAUGGAGUCAGCGCGAGCGCCAGGGGCCAGCGGCCGAGCCAGCGGAGCACGGCGGCGAGCGAGGGAGGGAGGCCGGCGCCCGAACCGCCCCCGCCGCCCGCCGGGCUGGAUUUCCUGAUGUAAACAGAGCGGCCCUGCAAGAACACAGCAACUCUGCUGAAUGUGUCGUUUAGUGUUCUUUAUCUGCUGGGGGUCAAAAUAUCGACUUAGAAAAACAGAAGCGUUGCUUUGAAUUUAAACAGCUAAAAGCCAUAGACUUUACUGGUCUGUGUGCGGGGAGGAGAAACGCCUGAAAACCUAGCUCCUGCUUUUGUGUUUACUUGUUCCAGUUUAUAGUAAUUUGGGGGCUAAUUUCAUUAUCUACAGCCAAAUUGGAAACAAGAUGCUGUUUCUGUUAAUGGUGCCAAAGGCAUGUGUGAGUUUGUGUGCUGUAGGUUGAAAGUUCCAACCGACCCCCAGAGCCCAGUGCCCCUGGCCCCCUUGGGCCUGCAAAGCGUUGAGACUCUGAUUUUCCCAGAGGGAUGUCGGCUACGCUGUUUCUCAGAGAAGCAUACUGCUUUUUGUCACUGAGUGCCAGCCAAGAUGUAUUUCCUUCCUGGAUUCCCAGAAAGACUCAGCGCUUGGGGGCUAAAAGGACAGGUUUCCUAUUCUUCACGGUGGGAUGUGCUUCCUUUCCCGUUUUUCAAGAAGCUGGGCCAAGAUUUAUGGAAAGAACCAAGGUCCAGUUCAGCAAAUUGAAUGGACCUGCAGGGAGAAGUAGCUCUGGAGUAUUCUCUCUUUCCAAGAAUACUAGGCUUUACAACCAUAGGAGGCACUGGCUUUUGGUUUUAUGGGAAGAGCAGACACCUCUUGAAUGACAAAGACAUUUCUCAUUUUUGACAGUCCAAUUCAAUUUUUGUUUGACAACUUAAUAUGCUUGAAAGCAAAGCUUUUCAGAGAGAGGGAGAGAGAGAACAUAUUUUCUAAGUCUAUCAAGGAUAGAUAGUUCAGAGCUAGCAUACUGUCCACAGCAUAAAGAACAUCAUGGUGUUGCUGUUCCAAGGAAAGAGAGAGAUUCAAUCAAGAGAAUGGAGAGAACGUGAGGAGGUCAGAACUGGGGUAUGGAAGAGCAUGGGUUCCUGAAUGACUGUUUGGGAGACUGCUACUCACAAGGAGAAUCUACAGUGGACUUUGUGUGAGUGAGAAACUAACUUUUGCUGUGUCAAGUUACUGAAAUUGUGGGGUUCGUGAUAGCAGCUGGAGCUGUUUGCCUUCUUCACUACUCUCCUCUUACUUGACCUCUCUGUGGCCUUGGGCAGUGCUGACCCCUCUCUCCUGUAUGACAUCCUCUUCCCUUGCUGUCCUUGAUCCUAUACUCUGUAGUUUUCCCACACAUGUAUCAAUAGUUCCCCAUGACUUCCAAGAAGUUCAAGUCCAGAAUUCUUGGCAUGCCUUUGCUAAAGUCUUUGUUUAACUCUUCAUUCUUCUCCCUCACCACCAUAGCUUCAAACUCCAUGCAUUUACAUAAACACAUCAUGCUCUCAUUUACUCUGAGGUUUUACAUUUGUUAUUCCCUCUGCUGAAAAGCUCUGCCCACUUUUUGCCCUGCUAAUUUUGCCACCACUUCAGAUCUGAUGUAUCACCAGUUCCAAGAACCCCAGACCCUAAGUUUUGGGGAAGAGCCUCCCAUGGGCUCUAAGGGAAGUUGUGUUUGCCUCAAUCAUAGGACUUGCUGUUGUAGCACUGCUCCAUCUCUUUACCAGCUGACUCCAAAGUCUGAUGUUCCAGCCUACUGUGCUCACUCCUGAAUCCCAAAUGCAUAGUCGAGUGCCUGUCACUUAGUCAUGCUAAUAACCAUUUGGUGAGUGCAUAAGUGAAUAAGUUUGUAGGACUGGGGAAACAAGAGUGCCUGAAAUCUAGGAAUUAGACUCCAGGUUUGAUAACAGGUAAUGCAUGAGGAAGUCAACCAGAAAAAUGAUGUUACUUAAUCUUCCUUGGAGAUUAUCUGUACUUGGUCCCUCUGAAAAUUACUAGACUGUUUAUGAGGAAGGGUAUAGAACAGCCUUCUUUCAAAUGGUGUUUCCUUCUAUUAUCAUUGGUGGUGAAAAUGGGAUUUAUUUCACAUAUUACAAUGCAGAAUUUGGUGUUGUUUAUAUGUGAACAUAACUACUCUGUAAAACCUCAAGCAUUUUUCUCUAUUAGAAUUGGCAGAUGAGAGAUUAUAUAAACUUGUGGCCAACUGAGAGGUUCCCAAAACAUUGCUCUUGAAUUAGAGGGAACAGAGGGCAUGCCCUGGGUGUCCGAAUCCCUUCUUCGGGCUGAUGCAGACUUAUGUUUGCAUCUGUGCUUUAUUACGGUGCUGCUCUGCUCUUUAACCACAAGGAGAACUCGGACACUGGAAGGUUAGGUGUGCUGCCUAAGGCCCCAUGGCAACUUGGAUUUGAGAUCAUAUCUGAAAGCAGAUGUAAGUAUCACUCCCUAGGAGCCCACAUGGACUCCUUGUGCUCCUGGACAUGGAAACGAAUCAUGAAGAGCCUCUGUCAAUGCAUCAUGAUAAAUCAGGUGAAGCUGAUGAUGUAUCCCGUGAGGUUGCCUGUGGAGGAGGAUUUCUGGGACACUGUUGGCAAGUGGUCACCGCUGGACUCCACAGAGGGGUGGACUAUCCCGGCACAUACUUUUGUUGCCACGCUAGUGGUGUGUGAGCCUGUCCCACAUGUGCUCUGCCAGCCCUGAUUUCUGAACCCAUGAGGAGUGUACAGGGGACCAAGGGAAGGGUCCAGGGGUCCUGCUUUUAUCUUUCCAUGGCUCAUGAUAAUGAGAGCAGCUAAGAUGACUGAGUGCUUCAUAUGUUUCCAGCUCUUCACCUCAUUUAAUUCUCCAAUGGCACCACUAUGGGACUGCUAUAGGUUACUCUCAGCUCUCAGGCAAGAAAACUGAGGCACAGAGGGCUCCUGGACUGGCCCCCAAAGCACAUGCCCUCCCACUCCUUUCAGGGCACUCUGUGCACUUAACCAGGGGUUGAUCCCCAAGGAGAGGCUGUGCCUAGGGCUCCUUCCCUCAGGGCUCCAGGAGUCCUGUCUACAGAAAUCUUCCUCUUUAAUUUUCCUUUCCUGGGCCCUGUCUCCCACUCUCUGACUAUUUAAGCUUACUUUAGAAGAACUAUUUCUUAUACCCUGAAAUGAGGGCAUGUAAAUUUGAAUAUGCAUGGAAGAAUGGUGAAAUGAAUAUAUUUAGAGUAAACAAAGCAUCCUCAUAAUCUCAAAACAUGUGUGCUUGUAUUUGUAGAUUGUCUUACACACCUAAAUUCUUUGCCAUGUAUUUUUGUGUUAAUUUGAAUGUGUUGCUCACAGGCAGCAAAGGCUGACUGAAGUGGGAUGUAAGCAGGAAAAGACUCCCCUCCAAAUGACAUCCAUCUCAUUAUGGUGAGUGCGUGACCCUCUCAUGACUCCAUCCUUCCACACACUGCUGUGCAGUACUCACCCCCACGCAUCCUGUUUAGAAUCAGCUUAGAUCCUGCAGAAUUUUCCUUCUAUUUUUCAGCAACAAAAUAUGAGGCAAAGGCCAAGAACUGCCGAUCUGUCUACAAUGUUUGAAAGAGCCCCGGAGCUGCUAUUUUGUAGAGCAGAGAGGAAGUGCUGCCUGGCCCUUUGGAGCUCCCUUCAGCCUCUGGGCUGUUAGUCAGCAGCCUCCUCCCACCCCACGAAGCCUCCCUCCUGGCCUGUGUCUGGCAUAGGUUCCCUGAGGCUCUUUCCAUCUGCGUUGUCCGUUCUGCAUUCUGUCUCCAUGUGAUAUGUGAUACAAAGCAUCCUUUUCUUCUCUGACUAUGACAUUCAAAGGAGAUGGUCUUCAUUGUUUCUCAGACCUGUCACCACUGGAUCAUGUCACUGACAGUAACACAAGAUGGAUGCUUUCCUUAGAGGAGACAAUGCAUUUCUAAAGUGGUGCUUGAUAAAGAAGGAAGUUGUUCUCAGAAUCUUACCAGAGCAUAUUUCAUUUUGAGUUUUUAGGCAGCAUGUCUCAAAUGUACCUCCAUGCCUUCAGGCAACUUGAAAGUUGAGGUUGGUCAAAUUUUGGAAUGAAUAAGACAGUAUCUUCAUGGAGUGUUAAAUCCAUAGCAGUGAAGUCAUUGUUUGAAUAAUCAUCUCUAAAUAAUCAAAUAUAUUAAUAUUUGGCUUUUGUCUGUUAUUAAUGAAAUUGUUCUUGAUUUCAAAGAAUUGGACAGGGUUGCCUUGAGUGACAUUUAGUGUUUGAAUGUUAAUGGGAUAUUAAUUACCCACAUGAAGUAAGGCAUUUGUUUCUGGAGAAAACAUGGCAUGCACUUCUUGACUGGGUCCCCUGUUUAUCUGUUCAGCGUCCUCCUGACACAUUCCCAUAUGUUCCCUUUCUCCAUAUCAAACCCAGGCCUUCCCUGAAAAGCCCAUGGUCUCUAUUAUCAGUGCUUUUUCCCAGACCUUGCUGAUCUUUCUGCCUGGAUAUUCUUCUUCACUGCUUGGCCACAUUCUACUUCUUGAAGGUUCAGCUUCAAACUUUUGGAGAUUCUUUUAUUCAUUCAUUUGCUUAUUCACUAAAUCAUUUAACAUUUACUGAAUAUUUACAAUGUGCUACACAUUUUUUUAGGUAUUGAGGAUACAAAAGACAUAAUCCUAAAUACCUUCAAGUGCCUUCAAGACAGACACAGGACUGGAGUUUGCAUACAACUAUGCUGUUGUGCAGUAGGGUUUAUGCAGGUAUUCCAGGAGUGCUGAAGAGAGAUGUCAAACCACCUGGGGAGGCAAGGAAGGGUCAUUUCCUCUGGUACAGGUCUGGCCAUCAUUAAUUCAGUUAGAGUGUCCUCUCCAUAUGCAUGCCCAGUGUGGCACUUAGCACACAUACUGUGUUGCUUUCUACCCCCAUUCACCAAAUCUACCCCCUCCUGCCAGCACAGUGUGGCAUAUAGCAGGCAUCCUGUGUCCACCUAUGUUUUGGUUCUUUUAACUGGCAUUUAGUUUGAUUUCUUUUCAGACUUUGGUUAAUAUUCUAACUACUUUAGAAAAAUAUUUGAGGUGGUUUUCAGUAAAAAUACACAGGACCAUUAAAAAUAAAAUUAGAAAGAGGGAUCAGCUAGAGGAAGGCAGGGGAGUGAUGCCACGGAGAGUUUGUUUACAGGUGUGUGGGUUGCUCUGAGCCGCCUGGCAGUCAGACUGCUCUGUCAUACCCUUGCCGUGGUCUCUGAAAUCGGGUAGCUUAUUUUAAUGUUAGUUGAUGCAUUAGUUAAAAAAAACAAAUUUAUCAACUGAAGCAGAAUAUGGGCUGAUAAAAUUUUCAAACACUAGGUCUUCUAUAGUUUGUAGAAAAUUGGGCAUCACAUGCUUUGAAUUCUAGAGUCCACUGUUCACGGCCUACAAGCCCUCACUAAGCCCUGAAAUCAAGGUAUUCUAUCUUCUGUGUGAAGAAUCCAAGAAAGCUGUUGGUUGGUGGUUUUUAAUUUCCAUCGAGUCUCUUCUCCUUCCAUUUCUGAGCCCUAUUCUCAGCUGCACUACUUCUUCCUAUGCAAAACACGGGAAGGUUCCUUGAUCUUUAGUAGUUGAGUGUGUAAAAUAGGGAAAUUGAUAUAUACCUUAAAUUGGUCUCAUUAGGUACAUUAGAUGAUGCUCAGCAAAUGACUGGAAGAAAAUGUGUUCUCACUAGCUCUUAGAAGCUCAGGUUGUGGUCCCGAUCUGCUCACUUCCUGUUGAUGGUCCUUCUGGAACAGAGUGACUAGAGGGGAGGGACCUUGCCCUGCAUGGGGGAGGAAGAUGAGUCAGCCAGCCCAUAUCUGGUAGGUGGCCCUUGUGUGGCACUGGGAUCUGAACUCCACCCCCGCUGCCACUGCUCACAGUGUGCCCUGUGAUUGGCUUCACUGUGUUCUUUUACAGACCUACCCUUAAGGUUCCUUCAGUGAAGACCAACUGGGAUUCUAUUUUAGCUGACAUAGAACCUCACAGUCUGUACCGUAGAUGAGUAAAAGGUAAAAGUCCCAUAUUUAAUGAUACCGUAAGUAUGUUAAAUUCCUCUGCAAAGUUUUGUAUCCAUCAGUUGUUUUGAAUGAGGUCCACUUAAUGUUGUUCCAUUUCAGUGAUGUCUUAAUUUUUAUGUUAUUUUACUAAUUGUGUAUCACUGUGGAAUCUUUAAUAGCAUUGAUUAAAUCCUGGCAUUAUUCCUAAGAGUAUUCCAUAAAAUACAUAUUUGUUUAACGUUUUCAUAGAUAAUACAUUCACAGAGUUUCAACUUCAAAAGGUACGAAAGGUUAAACAAUAAAAUAUCCUUCUUCCACUCUCCUCUGACACCCAUUUCUUUCCUUUGAUGCAGUCAGUUUCAUAUGUUUUUAAAUAUCUUUUCAGAAAUAAGUUAUGCAUCUGUAAAGCAAAUUCUCUUUUUACAGAAAUGGUAAAAGCACUAUGCACACUGUUCUACUCCUUGUUUCUUUCAUGUAACAAUAUGUUUUGGAGUGCAUUCUCUAUUUGUACAUAAAACCUUCUUCAAUCUUAUUCUACCCUGUGGUGUGCUGUA
Molecule: long non-coding RNA, 6584 nt
Organism: Equus quagga
Lineage: Eukaryota; Metazoa; Chordata; Mammalia; Perissodactyla; Equidae
Exons: 6
Source: RefSeq, a predicted model, not a curated record